Molecule: ribosomal RNA, 769 nt
Filed under: uncultured Planctomycetota bacterium
Lineage: Bacteria; Pseudomonadati; Planctomycetota
Description: bacterial SSU rRNA
Rfam family: Bacterial small subunit ribosomal RNA
Source: RNAcentral
GAACGAGGAUAUAUCCUUCGGGAUAUAAGCCGAGUGGCACAAGGGUGAGUAAUGCAUAGAUUACCUGCCUUUAGGAUAAGGGGAACUUUGUGAAAACGGAGCUAAUACUUAAUAAUACAAAAGAAAAUAAUUUUCUUUUGUCAAAGGGAGGGUAGCAAUACCUUUCGCCUAGAGGGGGGUUUAUGUCCUAUCAGCUUGUUGGUGGGGUAAUGGCCUACCAAGGCGAAGACGGGUAGCCGGUCUUAGAGGAUGGUCGGCCACACUGGGACUGAGACACUGCCCAGACUUCUACGGAAGGCUGCAGUCGAGAAUCUUUCGCAAUGCCCGAAAGGGUGACGAAGCGACGCCGCGUGGGUGAGGAAGGCCUUCGGGUUGUAAAGCCCUGUCAGGAGUUAUGAAAUGUAGGUGCGCUAAUAUCGUACUUAUUUGACAAAGGCUCCAAAGGAAGCCACGGCUAACUCUGUGCCAGCAGCCGCGGUAAUACAGAGGUGGCGAGCGUUGUUCGGAAUUAUUGGGCGUAAAGAGCACGUAGGUGGGUUUGUAAGUCAGAUGUGAAAGCCUUCUGUUCAACGGAAGAAUUGCAUCUGAAACUGCGAAUCUUGAGUAUAGGAGGGGAGAAUGGAACUUCUGGUGGAGCGGUGAAAUGCGUAGAUAUCAGAAGGAACGCCGGCGGCGAAAGCGAUUCUCUGGCCUAUUACUGACACUCAGUGUGCGAAAGCUAGGGGAGCAAACGGGAUUAGAUACCCCGGUAGUCCUAGCCGUAAACGAU